AUGGAUUCUCAUGACAUGCAUAUCCAGCUUCCUAACAAAGACCCUCUGGUCUUUGCGGAGGGUUUCAAUCCUGAUCCUGGGAUUGAGAUCAAUAUGCAAGGCCUAUCCAUCCAAGAUCCACAAGUUAUACAUAUCCAGGCUCACCAACAUCAUUCAGAUCCGGCCAAAGAAAAAGAUAGUGAUGCACCUUACAAUAUCUUGAUGAAGCUGGCUGUUACUGGAGGACAGCCAAGAGCUCUCUCUCUCUCUCAGCGUAGUUCAGCAGUCUAUGGCCAGAGCAUGGAGGGAGAAUUAUCAGGGUAUAUCUCAACUUUCAAGGUACAUAUUUGUGGCACACUUUCAGUCCUUGCAAUCUGCUAUGUUCGUGUUCACUAG
RNAcentral lists this ribosomal RNA (375 nucleotides) under Triticum aestivum (bread wheat). RNAcentral's name for it is "partial small subunit ribosomal RNA". The record is from RNAcentral. Lineage: Eukaryota; Viridiplantae; Streptophyta; Magnoliopsida; Poales; Poaceae.